CCUACGGGAGGCAGCAGUGAGGAAUAUUGGUCAAUGGCCGGAAGGCUGAACCAGCCAUGCCGCGUGAAGGUCAGUGCCCUAUGGGCGUUAAACUUCUUUUGUGCGGGAGCAAUAAUGGUCACGUGUGGCCAGACGAGAGUACCGUACGAAUAAGCAUCGGCUAACUCCGUGCCAGCAGCCGCGGUAAUACGGGGGAUGCAAGCGUUAUCCGGAUUUAUUGGGUUUAAAGGGUGCGUAGGCUGUGAGGUAAGUCAGCGGUGAAAUGCCCCCGCUCAACGGGGUGAAGUGCCAUUGAUACUGCCUGGCUGGAAUGCGGAUGCCGUGGGAGGAAUGUGUGGUGUAGCGGUGAAAUGCAGAGAUAUCACACAGAACACCGAUUGCGAAGGCAUCUCACGAAUCCGCGAUUGACGCUGAUGCACGAAAGCGUGGGUAUCAAACAGGAUUAGAUACCCUUGUAGUC
This 460-nucleotide ribosomal RNA is filed under the name uncultured bacterium. RNAcentral describes it as "partial 16S ribosomal RNA". It matches the Rfam family "Bacterial small subunit ribosomal RNA", at positions 338 to 795 of the family's 1533-position model. The record is from RNAcentral.